Molecule: long non-coding RNA, 466 nt
Organism: Malus domestica (apple)
Lineage: Eukaryota; Viridiplantae; Streptophyta; Magnoliopsida; Rosales; Rosaceae
Source: RefSeq, a predicted model, not a curated record
AUUUAGAAAGAUACUGAAGAGACUAACUCAAAAAAAAAAAAAAUUCCCAAAGUCACGGAUCUGCAAAUUUUGAGUGUACAACCGAGAGAAAACAAGCUUAAGCUGCCGGUCUAAUGGUCCCAGAAGGCAAAAUAAACGGUAAAUGUCUCGGCCGCUGCAAAUCAUGAAGGGGUAUACAGAUCAAUGAUAGAGCCGAGGGAAAAGAAGUAAACGCACAAGCUCAUCGAACAAAAACAGCCAAGGCCUCAAGACCCAGAUCGAUGCAUCUGGGAGGUAAAAUUCGAAUCCCUGCAAGUUGAAUUGUUGUAGAUCUAGUAAUAAUUGCUGUACUCAGUUCUGUGGUGUAUGGAUCUGUGAUUUAACUGUGUUUCCCCAUGCAUUGCAAAACUGAGCUGCAGAAAUUUAACUGCUCAAAAUUAUGUCUAUGUGCUGGAUCUGCAACAAUCACCCCCAAACUUGCAUCUGU